RNAcentral lists this ribosomal RNA (253 nucleotides) under uncultured bacterium. Its description in RNAcentral is "partial 16S ribosomal RNA". It matches the Rfam family "Bacterial small subunit ribosomal RNA", at positions 524 to 776 of the family's 1533-position model. The record is from RNAcentral.
UACGUAGGGUGCAAGCGUUAAUCGGAAUUACUGGGCGUAAAGCGUGCGCAGGCGGUUUUGUAAGUCUGAUGUGAAAGCCCCGGGCUCAACCUGGGAAUUGCGUUGGAGACUGCAAGGCUUGAAUCUGGCAGAGGGGGGUAGAAUUCCACGUGUAGCAGUGAAAUGCGUAGAGAUGUGGAGGAACACCGAUGGCGAAGGCAGCCCCCUGGGUUAAUAUUGACGCUCAUGCACGAAAGCGUGGGGAGCAAACAGG